AUUGAACGCUGGCGGCAGGCCUAACACAUGCAAGUCGAACGGUAACAGGAAGCAGCUUGCUGCUUCGCUGACGAGUGGCGGACGGGUGAGUAAUGUCUGGGAAACUGCCUGAUGGAGGGGGAUAACUACUGGAAACGGUAGCUAAUACCGCAUAACGUCGCAAGACCAAAGAGGGGGACCUUAGGGCCUCUUGCCAUCGGAUGUGCCCAGAUGGGAUUAGCUAGUAGGUGGGGUAACGGCUCACCUAGGCGACGAUCCCUAGCUGGUCUGAGAGGAUGACCAGCCACACUGGAACUGGGACACGGUCCAGACUCCUACGGGAGGCAGCAGUGGGGAAUAUUGCACAAUGGGCGCAAGCCUGAUGCAGCCAUGCCGCGUGUAUGAAGAAGGCCUUCGGGUUGUAAAGUACUUUCAGCGGGGAGGAAGGGAGUAAAGUUAAUACCUUUGCUCAUUGACGUUACCCGCAGAAGAAGCACCGGCUAACUCCGUG
This 490-nucleotide ribosomal RNA is filed under the name uncultured bacterium. RNAcentral describes it as "partial 16S ribosomal RNA". It matches the Rfam family "Bacterial small subunit ribosomal RNA", at positions 30 to 507 of the family's 1533-position model. The record is from RNAcentral.